AGUACGUGAAACUGCUUAGAGGUUAAACCCGAUGAACCUGAAUAUCCAUUAUGGAAAAUUCAUCACUAAUAAUAUGAUAUUUAUAAUAUUAUACAAAUAGUGUGCAAUUUUUCCAUAUAAGGACAUUGUAAUCUGUUAAUGUAAUAAAUAUUUAUCAUAAGAUCCAUUACUUAAGUUUAUUCGAAUUAGUUAUUUUCGGAUUUCUAACAUAGGAUAAAUGUUUUGGAUUUGAUAAAUCAUUGACAGAUAUAAUUAUAUAAUGUGCUUAAAUUUUUCGGAAUUUUAUCAAUGGUAGAUGAAUCUAAUGAUUUGUUUAUUUAAUUGUAUGCACUAUUAUGAUUAACAAUGCGAUAGAUUCAGGAUACCUUCGGGACCCGUCUUGAAACACGGACCAAGGAGUCUAACAUAUGUGCAAGUCAUUGGGUAUUUUUAAUAAAACCCAAUGGCGUAAUUAACUUAACUGUUAUAUAAUGGGAUUAGUUUAUAUUUUGUUAUGAAAUAUUAAUUCAAUCCCGGGGCGUUCUAUAUAGUUAUGUAUAAUAGUAUUUAUAUUAUUUAUGCCUCUAACUCGAGCGUACCUUGAGC
Molecule: ribosomal RNA, 585 nt
Filed under: Eupeodes fumipennis
Lineage: Eukaryota; Metazoa; Arthropoda; Insecta; Diptera; Syrphidae
Description: eukaryotic LSU rRNA
Source: RNAcentral